This 468-nucleotide ribosomal RNA is filed under the name uncultured bacterium. Its description in RNAcentral is "partial 16S ribosomal RNA". It matches the Rfam family "Bacterial small subunit ribosomal RNA", at positions 28 to 507 of the family's 1533-position model. The record is from RNAcentral.
GGCGAACGCUGGCGGCGUGCUUAACACAUGCAAGUCGAACGGAAAGGCCCUGCUUUUGUGGGGUGCUCGAGUGGCGAACGGGUGAGUAACACGUGAGUAACCUGCCCUUGACUUUGGGAUAACUUCAGGAAACUGGGGCUAAUACAGGAUAGGAGCUCCUGCUGCAUGGUGGGGGUUGGAAAGUUUCGGCGGUUGGGGAUGGACUCGCGGCUUAUCAGCUGGUUGGUGGGGUAGUGGCUUACCAAGGCUUUGACGGGUAGCCGGCCUGAGAGGGUGACCGGCCACAUUGGGACUGAGAUACGGCCCAGACUGCUACGGGAGGCAGCAGUGGGGAAUAUUGCACAAUGGGCGGCAGCCUGAUGCAGCAACGCCGCGUGCGGGAUGACGGCCUUCGGGUUGUAAACCGCUUUCGCCUGUGACGAAGCGUGAGUGACGGUAAUGGGUAAAGAAGCACCGGCUAACUACGUG